UACAUGGAUACUUCGAUCGUUUUUUAUUUUUUAUUUUUUUUUUAUUUAUUUUUGCUCAUCAAGGGAUAAUUAUUCGACGAUCUCUUUCGUAUACACCGGUAAGUUGAGACGCAUGAGACGUCCGCGUGAGCCAGCACCAGGGGAGUGCUGUGGAAGCGGGUGUACCCGCUGCGUAUGGGAUAUUUACUACGAUGAAGUCGCCAGAUUUGAAGAGCUUAUAGCAGGCGGGGGGAUCGAAGAGGAUUGCACCCAAUCCUCAGAGGAGGAAGAGGUUGUUAAUUAUAUCGGUUCCGUUGUGGUGAAGUACAUUGAUCCACCAGCUUUGCCCACCACAGGCUCUCCAGGUGAGUGGGAGAGAGCCGAAAUGAAGGCGCGCGGUUUCUUUCCCAUUGACAGAAUCGAACUAGUGAGCUGCAGCACAUCCCUGUUUUCUCCAACUGAUCCGGGAAUCAGCGUCGUCAACCUCUUCACAUCCGCAAAAGGCAGGACAAUGCUACCAGGCGAUGUAGUGGAGGUUCUUGUGACUAACAGUCGCGGUACUCAGGACGCCGAUGACGUUGAGAGGCUGUGCAAGGCGCUUCGCCUGGAUCCGUAUGCGUGGUGCGAGCUGCAUCGCUCCCCGUUUGUGCCGGAAGACAACUUUCCCCCGUGGCUUCCGCUACAAAAGCCUCUGACACUUGGACAGCUUCUCUCUGCCUACGUCGAUAUAAGCAGUAGUAGCUACCUGUUGCAUCAGAGCUUUUUCGAAAGUCUUUUUCGAAUUUACAGCGACUCCAAACCUUCCUCAGCAUCUUCGACUUCAACCACCCCGUCACCCGAUCCAGAGAAGGUGCGACUUCUUGAGGCCUGCGCGUCCUCUGAAACAGGUCCCCAGCUGCUGCGUUCGCUGUCAAAAAGCAGUACACCGCUUUGCUACCCUUCUCUUGUCGACGUACUUGAGGUCUUUUCCUUCGUCCAAAUUCCACUUGACCGUCUCCUUGAGGUCAGUGGACCGCUCCAGACGCGCAGGUAUAGCCUGGCAAACUGGAUUCCUGCAACGCUUCCGCCAAGCCCACUUCAGCUGUGCAUGAGGGAGGUGUGCGCUCGACGCUCUGCAAAUUUACCUGCAGCUACUGCCGUUGGCGCGGACGCUCAGCGCGUUGCAGACAUGCUCAACAGAGCUGCUCAGGAUGCCUCCAGGGACCACAGCGACUUUUUCUUUGGACACACGUCCCACCCGUUGUGUUGUGCAGCGCGCUCUAUGACGAGGAGCGCAGCUGCCGCAGGUCAGAGAGGCAUGUACGUCAGCUUUUCUCUUUUUGGAAACUCUUUAUUUGCCCGGCAGCUUCAGGCUGGAUGCACAGCUCUGUGCAACCCUGCUCAAGCCAAGAGCUUGUGCAGUCAACUUUUUCUUAUCGGGUGUGGCACAGGGAUUGCUCCUUUGAUUGCGGCUGUCACGCAGCUGAUGCUUCGUCGCGCCUCCACAGCCGCCGGCAGUGCUCCGUUUCCAUGCUGGGUGUUCUACGGAGCGCGCACAAAGGCGGAACUUUUGUAUGAUGAAACCCUCCAGGAAGCACUGAGGACAGGAGCCAUUGCCAAGUACGAGUACGCGCUUUCCCGAGAGGAGGACAAUAAGAAGCAAGGCAGGUAUGUGACCGACCUUGUGAAGCGGAACAGGCUAAUGGUCACGGAUUCCCUGCAAAACGAGGGUCAGCUAUUUGUGUGUGGUCCGGCAAAGGCUCUUCUAUCUGUUCGGCAGCUGGUCAAGUGCGACCUGCUCGCCGAGCCAGACGAUGAUGACAGUGUGCAGGAGCAACGACUGUUGAUGCUAGAGGAUCGAGGGCGACUGAACUUCGAUAUAUGGAGCACGGGAAACAUAUUUGAGUGAUGCAUACGUUCCUAUCGCUGUGUAUGAUGGACUACAUGAGUGAACGGUU
RNAcentral lists this unclassified non-coding RNA (1916 nucleotides) under Leishmania donovani. Its description in RNAcentral is "gene:LdHU3.19.1810(CDS-product:oxidoreductase-lik e_protein)". The record is from RNAcentral. Lineage: Eukaryota; Euglenozoa; Kinetoplastea; Trypanosomatida; Trypanosomatidae.